CCAGCUGGGUCCCUCACAUAGCUGCAACCUGCAACCUGACAAUCCCAAUCAAAAUGCCUCAGUAGCAGAGUAUGGAGAAUACCGUAAAUGCUUCACCACACUUCACAGUACAGAUGGAUUUAACAACGGUAUGAUAUGCAGCAGUAGGGUCAGCCUCUUAAUGUGGUUAUGACAAGGCAUUUUUGAAGCCAGCUUGGAGCCAGGGAACAGGACGGUGAAAAACAUCAAGAGAAUUUCUUGACAUCGGUGUGUGUCAGUGAUCAUGGGUUUGCUUGUAAACACUCACUAUUGAGCAAUCCAAUCAACUAAGUGAGUGGGCAGUGAUAUGGUUUCAAACAAUUGAAGAAAAACACUUCUACACAGUGAUCCAUCUAACAGACAGAUGAAAUGAUUUGCUGUGAGAGUGUGAUGGCCCUCAGUGUUUGGCUCAGCUCUGCUGCUGUCUGCUGAGUCCAUUACCCUUCCAAUGAGCCUGCGAAGAACUCUACUGUGUUUGUUUGCCAAUACCUUCUCGAAAAUGUACUGUAUGUCACACCCACUUGACCUGCUGAAAUCACAGAAUUCUUCAAAAAGUCAAACUUGCCAGAGGCAUGUUGGUCCAAGUCUGUUAUUUCCUUGUUUGCCACCAAGUUGUCAUUGUUACAACAGCCAAAAGAAAAAGCCAAAGAAAGCUGAGGGACAAUCACACCAUGCACCACCAGUCGCUCAUGUUUAUGCCUGUAACUUGGAAAUCAAGGGCCUUUGAGGUCCAAGAGGUCUGGUUGAUUGGUUGGAUGGAGCCUACUGACUUUGGUGAAUUGCCAGCAGGUCAAAGGUUAAACUUAACAACUGAAAUAUCUCAACACGUACUAGGUGGAUUGGCACAAAAUAUUGUACAGAUAUUCAUGGU
Molecule: long non-coding RNA, 889 nt
Organism: Thunnus maccoyii (southern bluefin tuna)
Lineage: Eukaryota; Metazoa; Chordata; Actinopteri; Scombriformes; Scombridae
Exons: 3
Source: RefSeq, a predicted model, not a curated record